GCUUGUGGAUCAAAUGAUUAUCAGAAGACCAAGGAGUCAAGAAGAAAUAGCUACAGAAGAUAGAAAGGACCAAGUUUAAUCUUCCUGUAAAUUCUAAAUCCUGCAAUGUACACAUCAGACUGAACAUACAAGAUUAAAAGGUCUUUCUCGGAUCUAGGAGAGAUGAAAUCAGAGCCUGAUGUCUUCAAGUUCUGAAAAGAGACAUUUACCGUCUAUUCUUUCUGAAGCCUCCUGCCUGGAGGCUUCACUUACAUAACAAGAACCCUGGUCUUCACAACCUCCCUUAUGUUACUUUGGGCAUUUCUUUCUUCUGAUUUCAAGUCUUUAGACAAAGCUUAACUCUUUCAAUCAAUUGUCAAUUAGAAAAUCUUUGAAUCCACUUAUGACUUGUAAACACACCAUCUCUUCAAGAUAUCACAUCUCUUUAGGCUGAACCAGCAUAUACCUUACAUGUAUUGAUUUGUGUUUUUGCCUGUAACUUCUGUUUCCCAAAAUGCAUAAAACCGAACUGUAAGCUGACUGCCUCAGGCACACCUUCUCAAAACCUCUGGAGACUGUUCCCCAGGCCAUGGUCUGUCAUACUGGGUCAGAAUAAACUUCUUUAAAUAUUUUACUGUGCUUUGUUUUUCCAUUAACAAGCUCAUGGAUUGACUUACAGAUAUACCCACCCAAUUAUCAUGCUAAACUCCUUAUAGAAGUGCCCAGAAUAGAAAUGGUCAUCACCAUCUCUUCACCUGAUAUGUGGCAUCCAGGCCAAAGCCUGCUUUCUCCAUUACAUUCCAUUUCACAUCCUCUAUCCUAUCCUAGGAAGUCUUAGGAUCUGUAUAUUUAUUUAGCACAUAUGAAAUAUUUUUUGUUAAAAAAAUUGUAAAUAAAUCUUUAUAGGCAUAGUAAUUUUCUUUUCUAGUUUUGUUCUCUCGUUUUUAAGGAUCAUUUGCUCAUUGUAAAAACUUUAAGAAUUUAAAAUUUAUGAAAAAACGCAGUUGUGGUUCUCCCCAAAACCAAACCUUGUUAACUUUUUCAUCUGUAUCUUUCUAGUGGGAUAAAAAUAUGUGCGAGCAAAUCAGUGUUUGACCAUAUUUUUAUUACAUAAAA
RNAcentral lists this long non-coding RNA (1095 nucleotides) under Homo sapiens (human). RNAcentral's name for it is "HSALNT0038354". Lineage: Eukaryota; Metazoa; Chordata; Mammalia; Primates; Hominidae. The record is from RNAcentral.